Molecule: ribosomal RNA, 803 nt
Filed under: uncultured bacterium
Lineage: Bacteria
Description: bacterial SSU rRNA
Rfam family: Bacterial small subunit ribosomal RNA
Source: RNAcentral
UGGUCUUAGAGGAUGAUCAACCACACUGGAACUGAAAUAAGGUCCAGGCUGACAAGUCGGCCAGCAGUGAGGAAUAUUGGACAAUGAACGAAAGUUUGAUCCAGCAACACUAACUGGGUGAUGACGGCUUAUUUAAGUUGUAAGAUCCUUUAAUUAAAGAAGAUAAUGACAAUAUUUAAUUGAAUUUAGUCCUGGCUAAUACUCGUGCCAGCAGCCGCGGUAAUACGGGAAGGGCAAGCGUUAUCCGGCAUGACUGGGCGUAAAGAGUCCGUAGACUGUAAAGUGAGUUUUUUGUCAAAUUAUAAGACCUAAUCUUAUACUAGCAAUUAAUACUAUUUUACUUUGAGCUUAAUGCAGAAAAGUAGAAUUUUAUACGACAGAGGUGAAAUUCGUAGAUAUAUAAAGGAAUACCGAUAGCGAAGGCAACUUUUUAGCAUAAACUGACGUUGUGGGACGAAAGCGUGGGUAGCAAACAGGAUUAGAGACCCUGGUAGUCCACGCUGUAAAUUCUGAGUGCUGUAAUUUAAUUGUAAUAUAUUUUUAAUAUUACUUAGAUUUUCAAGCUAACGCAAUAAGCACUCCGCCUGAGGAGUACGAUCGCAAGAUUGGAACUCAAAGGAAUUGACGGGGGUCUAACACUAGUGGUGGAGCAUGUGGUUUAAUGCGAUAAUCCGCGCAAAAUCUUACCAAUUCUUGACAUAGCUAAAUUUUAUACAAAUUAACGUGAAGUAGUUUUUUGUAUAUAUUUUUUUACAGGUGUUGCACGACUGUCGUCAGCUCGUGUCGUGAGAUGUUGUUAAGUC